UGAGCCCAUUUUCAAUUACUUCGCUAUUCAGAUUCUAUAAUCAUCGUUAUUCAGAUUCCAGUCAUCAAUCAACGUUGCUGGCGUAAUAUAUUAUCAAUGGCAGUGGCACCGCCCGGGCGAAACUUGGAAUAUCCGGCAGACCUAAGCACUGGCACAGCGUGUCUUCAUCAUCGGAGACCCGGGUGUGAAUAUGCACGUGCUAUUCCAUAUUUUCAUCAGCCGCCAGGGAAAAACGCCCGGCUACCGUGCAGUCUCGUGUCUCGUCGCGCUGCGGGCGGGUUAUUUAUGGCGCAGUGGUUUUUUCAAAAUGUCUCGGCCAAAACAAACGACCAUUUUGAGCUUCAUUCAAAAUCCUAAAAGGCAAGCAGUAAAUGAAAAUAUCGCCAGUGGUAGCGAGACAGAGAUGUCUGACAAAGCGGAGGCAGACCAAGACCAACUUCCUGCUGCUCCCGCCCCAGCUCCCACCGAGGCCGUACAUGCUCCCGCCAGUGCCACCACAACCGCGAUGCCGGCCGUGCCUGUGCCAAAGCCGCCUGGACCACUGACACCUGAUCAGUGGACUAGGUGGCAGAAAAAGCGGCCAUGGCUUGAUGUGAAGGACGGCAAACUGGUCUGUCGGACUUGCACGAAGAUUGGCAGCCUAGAGGUACACGGCGGGACCACCUACUGCUGCGCCAUGCCGGACUACUGUAACGCGGCGCCCGCGGCCGGCGGCCCCCCGCUGCUGCUGCUGCUGCUGCUGCUGCCGCUCGGCCGCCACCUGGCCUCUCUCACGGCGCCGAUAGCGAGACGAACGAAAACUCAGCAGUGACCUCAGCAGCGAGUGACCUCAGCAGUGACCUCAGCAGCGAGUGACCUCAGCAGUGACCUCAGCAGCGAGUGACCUCAGCAGUGACCACAGCAGCGAGUGACCUCAACAGUGACCUCAGCGGCGAGUGCUGUCGACAUGCGCGGUGCGAGUAAAAAUUAGUUCUAAAGUCUGAUAUAAGUGUAUAUGAAUAUAUCAUUGUAAACAUG
Molecule: RNA transcript, 1017 nt
Organism: Amphibalanus amphitrite
Lineage: Eukaryota; Metazoa; Arthropoda; Thecostraca; Balanomorpha; Balanidae
Exons: 2
Source: RefSeq, a predicted model, not a curated record